Molecule: long non-coding RNA, 983 nt
Filed under: Nicotiana benthamiana
Lineage: Eukaryota; Viridiplantae; Streptophyta; Magnoliopsida; Solanales; Solanaceae
Description: long non-coding RNA (NBEN_LNC010001)
Source: RNAcentral
UAGGAGGGAGAACAACUGUUUUUUUUCAUCUUCUUCAUUAAAAGGAUUACAAGCUGAACCGUAGCCCCAAAAAAAAUUCCCACAGCUACCGCGUGCUCUCACAGCAGCAACCAAACGACCCCCCAUUCUUCUUCUUUGACUAGUGGCAACAACACAACCAUAUCUCGACCCACACCCCCCGACCUUCGUCUUUUCCCGACCUAGACUAGGACUUCAUAAGCUUCAGCCAUUUUUGAAUCUUCGGCAACCAACUGACCUAAACCAGUAACAGUUCGCCGGAAGCCUGAAGCAGCGACACCAUCGGUGACAUCUUCAGUCCGAAAACGGGAGAAACAGAUGUUGAAACUAGAUUUCAAUCGAUUUUGGUUUUUGGUUUUUGAUUCGAAUGGUUACUUCUAUGAUUUCAUCUUAGUUCAUCGACACUAAGGAACAAGUUUCAAUCUAUUUUUAGCUUCAGUUCUGAUUUCAAACUCGAAAAUGCAACGAAAAUUCUAGCUAUCCUUUUGGUCUUGGCCUCCGAAGCUUCGUGGAAUUGUAGAACUUGUUUCGAAGCAGAGAGUUUGAUUCGAACUCAAAUCUUUGUUCGAUACCGCUGAUUUUGCCAUUUUUAGUAACUGCUGAAGUUUAUGUCAUGUUCAUCUCGAAUUUUAGUUAGUUUAUUCAAGUUUUCUUAUUCAACCAAUUGAGCGAUGGAGUUUGAUUGAGUUGGGGCCGUUCCGAGCUGUCCGUAGCUGCUGUUCGAGUUCUGCUUUUGAUCGGGUUUUGAUUUGUUGUUCGUUGGUUGUUGAUGUUCUUCUAAAAGAUUUUAAACAUUUGGACAGAGACCAAUUAAAAAGAAAACUAAUUCAAGGUCCACUUCUAUCUUUACUCUUUUACUUCCUGAUUUUGUCACAUAUUUGUUUGAAUGUCUGAUCCGUAUAUUCUUCAUGACUAGUUGUGAUAUUUUUAUCCUAUGAUGAAAUUUGGCUCAUUAACAUGUCUUA